GGGAGUCUACACACAGAUACAAAGGUCGUUUGUUUUUGGCUGUAAAAAUGUAUCUGUAAAAGUUGCCUUGGAAAUUUCGAAAUUAUUUGUUAAAUUCCUAUACUUAAAUGAACAUAUGGCUACAGAAUGCAGUGGUAAUUCUGGGAUGGGGAAGGGCAGCUGGACAUUACCUGUUUUUCAUCAGUCGGAGUUCCCUCUUACGUGAUGCUUCCUCAGUCAGCUGCUGAGGGCUUGGCAGAGAGCCGGGUGAGCCAUCCAUUGCCUGGGAAAGACCAGAUGCAGGAGAGGAAACCUGAUACCCAGACAUACCUCCAGUGGUGGCUGCAAAAACACACCAACACAUAAGUUAACAGAGGAACAGUUCCAAAUAUUUUCAAAGACAUAAUUUUACAUAACAUUGGCUGCAUAUUUUGUGUUUCCAUUACAGAUAAAAAUGAUUUUUCUGCCCGCCCAACCAGGUCAGCAGUUCAGAUUUUGUUAACACAAAAAUAUUUUAAUAUUUAUAAUUUUCAAUAAAUUGUACAGUAACUUUUCUUUACAAAAGGAUAAAACUAUUUAACAAACUAGCACAAAACUCUCUCACAAUGAUCCCAGGUCAUCAUUUUUGUAAUCCCCAAACCUACAAUAUUUAAUCAGUGAGAGGAAGUGUGAUAUUGCAGUUAAUGUUAAGGCUGUUUAGCGAGUUAUAGUCAAAUAGUGCCAAUAUAUUAAGUAAGUAAGGAUAAAAAGAAAGGAAAAGAAAAGA
This is a long non-coding RNA of Carassius auratus (goldfish), 745 nucleotides long. RefSeq lists it as uncharacterized. Lineage: Eukaryota; Metazoa; Chordata; Actinopteri; Cypriniformes; Cyprinidae. The transcript has 2 exons. The record is from RefSeq and is a predicted model, not a curated record.